ACUGUAUUUCGCUACGCUACUUGUUUUGGAACAUCAAUGAACAUCACUAACCACUCGUGGAACUUGCAGAACGACACAGACACAGGAUGGAGGAGAGAGGAGGAGAGCGAGCAGAUCAGCCAACUGACCCUACCACACUGUGGCCUUAUCUUCAGAGAUAUAUGAGACUUCUGGAAUCCUCAGAUAAAAAGGAGGGCAGAAUGUUGGCGUCUCCGACAGAGAUGCAGAGCUGGAGGAUGGUGCAUGUGGAUUUUGAGGACAUACGUUCAAAGGAUUUACCGUCGUGGAUGCAACAUGGCUCUGGGGCAGCAUGUUCAGUGUUGCUAGCAGAUGAGCUGAGCUUGACAGGGGCAGCUUGUGUGGAGGGUGAAGGUGCCUGUUUUUUAAUGAGCCACUUAUGCAUUUUUUAAUA
Long non-coding RNA from Alosa sapidissima (American shad), 412 nucleotides. RefSeq lists it as uncharacterized. NCBI's taxonomy places the organism in Eukaryota, Metazoa, Chordata, Actinopteri, Clupeiformes, Clupeidae. The transcript is spliced from 3 exons. The record is from RefSeq and is a predicted model, not a curated record.